Long non-coding RNA from Ficedula albicollis (Collared flycatcher), 944 nucleotides. RefSeq lists it as uncharacterized. NCBI's taxonomy places the organism in Eukaryota, Metazoa, Chordata, Aves, Passeriformes, Muscicapidae. The transcript has 5 exons. The record is from RefSeq and is a predicted model, not a curated record.
GGCCGCGCCGGCUCCUUCCCCGCGAGGGCGGCGGCGGAGCGGGGAGAGGCCGCGGCUUUGCCCCAGAACUCACGGCGCAGUGCUGGGGACGGCGCUUUAGAAGCCGGAUUUGUGAAUAGGGCCGGAUAAGUGGACUCGCAGCCCCGCGCAUGUCGAGAUUGCAGAUGUUCGCAAACAUUACGCGUCCACAGCCUUGCCCGUGUUAAACAUCUACUGAAUGCACAGGACAGGCACCACUUUCUUCCUGAAGCUUUUGGAUUGGAAUAUGGGUAUCUUCAAUGUAUGGAAUCUAGUUCUGUUACUCAUUCUGUCUAUUAUUUUCAAUUAAUUCUUGUCCUAAGCAAUGAGGCUUUUGCUGUGGCAGAAAGAUAUUUGCUCUGAAGGACAGAUGGCAGCAGCCCUUUUAUCCCCACCUUUGCAAUGAAUCUAGAUCUGCUGCAGAAUGUUUCAAGAGUAUGCAAAAAAUGCUACCAGUAGCAGCUUGAGAGAAGCUUACUCUGUACUCAUGUACAGCAGCUUUAUAGGGCUCUGGAAACUGCAAAACCUGCUCUUUUAUAGAGACCUGGUGACCCUCAGCCAAAUUCUGCAGGACUAGUAUCAAUGUCCUUCUUGUUAGUGCGUCCAGCUUCAGGAUCAAAUGUGGUAACUGCUGAAAGACGUCUAGCCUCAACCAAAAAAAACUCUGCAGAGAAAGUGCAUCAGUUCACUGCGCAGCUGCAUGGACAUGGAUGCCAGCUCAGGAGAGAAGGAGAAACAUAACACCACUCUGUCUCUAGAUGAGAAAUAUGGAUGGACAUUCACUGAUGUAUGCUUGUCACGGUGCAUCUUGGUCACUGCCUCCGACCAGAGGUUAUGCCAAACCCCCAAAACUCUCCAGCUUCCUUUGUGGCUGGUAGGGAGUGUGUGCAAACCUGGCCUCAGCAGGUGAGCCUGUGGGCUCUGGC